ACUCAAGAUGCUUAGUUUCUCCUUUUUUCUUUUUUCUCCUCCAGGGAUGGGAAUCAGAUGGGCAUAGGGCAUCUGGUCCAUGAUCAUCCUUUGUUCGUGCUGAUCUCCGGUGAAAUAUCUGAAGAAGCUUAUCAAGACCUCCACCUGGGAUCACCCAUCAUUCCACCCUUUCCAAUUCUGAGCUGACAUCACCUCUGGGUAUAUCAGUGAACCACAGACUCAGUCAACAGAAAACCAUGGAGAAGAGAUCUUGUUAUCAUUACUGAAAUUGUGAUUUUAAAUGGAAAGUUUAUUUUCAGCCAAGAAAAAGCUGGUGAGAGAGAAGCAAAUGAACCGAGUAUUUGUUUAUGUACUUCACAUUACAAGGCUGGUUAAAUGAUUUUAUUCAUUAGUAAUUAGUCUAUUCAACAGCACUGUGAAGUAAGUAUUAUUGCACUCAUUGUUUAUAUUAAUCAGAGUAAUACUAGGAAUAGUGCUAAUAAUGGUAACUUGCAUUUCUUGCGCAUUUCCCAGGUGCUAGAAUCUGUGAACACCAAUGUAAAUUUCACUCGGAUUUGAUUUUCAAGUACAGAUGAGGAAAUUAAUGCUCAGUAAGUCCAUGUGACUUGCUAUUGUCAGACAGCCUGGGCUUGGCCAUCUGAUUAAAAAAACAGUGGGCUUUGCAUAAUGCUAAGCUGCUAUAGGUCACGGGGCUCUGAUUGGAGAAGAAAUAGGAAAUAUUUACAAAUGUGAACCUGAAAGAGCCAAUUCUUCCAGAUGAAUCCCAAGAGCCUAACUGAGCCUAAAUUUAAAAUAGUCAAGCAGUUAUUUGCUAAUUAGACUAGGUCACACAUAUCUUUUAGUUCCUGGAAAACUCAUUCCUCUGGUUUAACCUUGGAACCUUCAGAACUCCCAAAGGUCUACUUUGGGAACUAACCAAUCAGGGAUCAGCUAUAUCAACCAAUCAGAACUAAGCAAGUUCGAAUGCUUCAUUUGCAUAAAUGAACCUGAUGGGGAAACUGGGUGUUUUUUCUCUAUAAAAGCAACCCCCCGGGGGGGCGCCCAAGAUGGCCAAAUUGGAGCAGCUCCAGCCUCCAGCUCCCAGCAUGAGUGACACAAGACGGGUG
RNAcentral lists this long non-coding RNA (1106 nucleotides) under Macaca mulatta (Rhesus monkey). RNAcentral's name for it is "lncRNA (ENSMMUG00000056010.1)". Lineage: Eukaryota; Metazoa; Chordata; Mammalia; Primates; Cercopithecidae. The record is from RNAcentral.